AGCAGUAGCCGCGGGAACACGUAGGUGGCAAGCGUUGUCCGGAAUUAUUGGGCGUAAAGCGCGCGCAGGCGGAUAGGUCAGUCUGUCUUAAAAGUUCGGGGCUUAACCCCGUGAUGAGAUGGAAACUGCCAAUCUAGAGUAUCGGAGAGGAAAGUGGAAUUCCUAGUGUAGCGGUGAAAUGCGUAGACAUUAUGAAGAACACCAGUGGCGAAGGCGACUUUCUGGACGAAAACUGACGCUGAGGCGCGAAAGCCAGGGGAGCGAACGGGAUUAGAUACCCCUGUAGUCCCUGUCUCUUAUAAA
This 303-nucleotide ribosomal RNA is filed under the name uncultured bacterium. RNAcentral's name for it is "partial 16S ribosomal RNA". It matches the Rfam family "Bacterial small subunit ribosomal RNA", at positions 507 to 809 of the family's 1533-position model. The record is from RNAcentral.